This 508-nucleotide ribosomal RNA is filed under the name uncultured bacterium. RNAcentral's name for it is "partial 16S ribosomal RNA". It matches the Rfam family "Bacterial small subunit ribosomal RNA", at positions 30 to 523 of the family's 1533-position model. The record is from RNAcentral.
AUUGAACGCUGGCGGCAUGCCUUACACAUGCAAGUCGAACGGCAGCGGGGGAGAAGCUUGCUUUUCCUGCCGGCGAGUGGCGAACGGGUGAGUAAUACAUCGGAACGUGCCCUGUAGUGGGGGAUAACUAGUCGAAAGAUUAGCUAAUACCGCAUACGACCUGAGGGUGAAAGUGGGGGACCGCAAGGCCUCAUGCUAUAGGAGCGGCCGAUGUCUGAUUAGCUAGUUGGUGGGGUAAAGGCCUACCAAGGCGACGAUCAGUAGCUGGUCUGAGAGGACGAUCAGCCACACUGGGACUGAGACACGGCCCAGACUCCUACGGGAGGCAGCAGUGGGGAAUUUUGGACAAUGGGCGAAAGCCUGGUCCAGCAAUGCCGCGUGUGUGAAGAAGGCCUUCGGGUUGUAAAGCACUUUUGUCCGGAAAGAAAUGGCUCUGGUUAAUACCUGGGGUCGAUGACGGUACCGGAAGAAUAGGGACCGGCUAACCACGUGCCAGCCGCCGCGGUAA